AGCGAUUUACUUCGGUAAAGAGCGGCGGACGGGUGAGUAACGCGUGGGUAACCUACCCUGUACACACGGAUAACAUACCGAAAGGUAUGCUAAUACGGGAUAAUAUAUUUGAGAGGCAUCUCUUGAAUAUCAAAGGUGAGCCAGUACAGGAUGGACCCGCGUCUGAUUAGCUAGUUGGUAAGGUAACGGCUUACCAAGGCGACGAUCAGUAGCCGACCUGGGAGGGUGAUCGGCCACAUUGGAACUGAGACACGGUCCAAACUCCUACGGGAGGCAGCAGUGGGGAAUAUUGCACAAUGGGCGAAAGCCUGAUGCAGCAACGCCGCGUGAGUGAUGAAGGCCUUCGGGUCGUAAAACUCUGUCCUCAAGGAAGAUAAUGACGGUACUUGA
This 390-nucleotide ribosomal RNA is filed under the name Clostridioides difficile. RNAcentral's name for it is "bacterial SSU rRNA". It matches the Rfam family "Bacterial small subunit ribosomal RNA", at positions 65 to 482 of the family's 1533-position model. The record is from RNAcentral. Lineage: Bacteria; Bacillati; Bacillota; Clostridia; Peptostreptococcales; Peptostreptococcaceae.